Molecule: small nuclear RNA, 159 nt
Organism: Jaculus jaculus (lesser Egyptian jerboa)
Lineage: Eukaryota; Metazoa; Chordata; Mammalia; Rodentia; Dipodidae
Product: U1 spliceosomal RNA
Exons: 1
Source: RefSeq, a predicted model, not a curated record
AUACUUAGCAGAGAAAUUACCAUGAUCAACAAGAUUGUUUGUCUAGGUCAAGGCUUAUCUAUUGCUCUGUGGAUGUGCUAAUCCCUGCAAUUUUCCCAAGUGUGGGAAACCCAUCUGCAUGAUUUGUGGUAUUGAGGAGCUAUGUUUGUACUCUCCCUU